ACGCUGGCGGCGGGCCUAACACAUGCAAGUCGAGCGGUAGAGAGAAGCUUGCUUCUCCUGAGAGCGGCGGACGGGUGAGUAAUGCCUAGGAAUCUGCCUGGUAGUGGGGGAUAACGUUCGGAAACGGACGCUAAUACCGCACACGUCCUACGGGAGAAAGCAGGGGACCUUCGGGCCUUGCGCUAUCAGAUGAGCCUAGGUCGGAUUAGCUAGUUGGUGAGGUAAUGGCUCACCAAGGCGACGAUCCGUAACUGGUCUGAGAGGAUGAUCAGUCACACUGGAACUGAGACACGGUCCAGACUCCUACGGGAGGCAGCAGUGGGGAAUAUUGGACAAUGGGCGAAAGCCUGAUCCAGCCAUGCCGCGUGUGUGAAGAAGGUCUUCGGAUUGUAAGGCACUUUAAGUUGGGAGGAAGGGUUGUAGAUUAAUACUCUGCAAUUUUGACGUUACCGACAGAAUAAGCACCGGCUAACUCUGUGCCAGCAGCCGCGGUAAUACAGAGGGUGCAAGCGUUAAUCGGAAUUACUGGGCGUAAAGCGCGCGUAGGUGGUUUGUUAAGUUGGAUGUGGAAUCCCCGGGCUCAACCUGGGAACUGCAUUCAAAACUGACUGACUAGAGUAUGGUAGAGGGUGGUGGAAUUUCCUGUGUAGCGGUGAAAUGCGUAGAUAUAGGAAGGAACACCAGUGGCGAAGGCGACCACCUGGACUAAUACUGACACUGAGGUGCGAAAGCGUGGGGAGCGAAAC
RNAcentral lists this ribosomal RNA (746 nucleotides) under uncultured bacterium. Its description in RNAcentral is "bacterial SSU rRNA". It matches the Rfam family "Bacterial small subunit ribosomal RNA", at positions 33 to 774 of the family's 1533-position model. The record is from RNAcentral.